UGGGGAAUAUUGCACAAUGGGCGCAAGCCUGAUGCAGCCAUGCCGCGUGUGUGAAGAAGGCCUUCGGGUUGUAAAGCACUUUCAGCGGGGAGGAAGGCGAUAAGGUUAAUAACCUUGUCGAUUGACGUUACCCGCAGAAGAAGCACCGGCUAACUCCGUGCCAGCAGCCGCGGUAAUACGGAGGGUGCAAGCGUUAAUCGGAAUUACUGGGCGUAAAGCGCACGCAGGCGGUCUGUCAAGUCGGAUGUGAAAUCCCCGGGCUUAACCUGGGAACUGCAUUCGAAACUGGCAGGCUAGAGUCUUGUAGAGGGGGGUAGAAUUCCAGGUGUAGCGGUGAAAUGCGUAGAGAUCUGGAGGAAUACCGGUGGCGAAGGCGGACCCCUGGACAAAGACUGACGCUCAGGUGCGAAAGCGUGGGGAGUAAACAGG
This 429-nucleotide ribosomal RNA is filed under the name Chloroflexota bacterium. RNAcentral's name for it is "Chloroflexi bacterium partial 16S ribosomal RNA". It matches the Rfam family "Bacterial small subunit ribosomal RNA", at positions 355 to 776 of the family's 1533-position model. Lineage: Bacteria; Bacillati; Chloroflexota. The record is from RNAcentral.